Molecule: ribosomal RNA, 253 nt
Filed under: uncultured bacterium
Lineage: Bacteria
Description: partial 16S ribosomal RNA
Rfam family: Bacterial small subunit ribosomal RNA
Source: RNAcentral
UACGUAGGGACCAAGCGUUGUUCGGAUUUACUGGGCGUAAAGGGCGCGUAGGCGGCUCUGUAAGUCACUUGUGAAAUCUCUGAGCUUAACUCAGAACGGCCAAGUGAUACUGCAGUGCUAGAGUGUAGAAGGGGGAAUCGGAAUUCUUGGUGUAGCGGUGAAAUGCGUAGAUAUCAAGAGGAACACCUGAGGCGAAGGCGGGUUGCUGGUCUAACACUGACGCUGAGGCGCGAAAGCAAGGGGAUCAAACGGG